RNAcentral lists this long non-coding RNA (200 nucleotides) under Homo sapiens (human). Its description in RNAcentral is "HSALNT0047423". The record is from RNAcentral. Lineage: Eukaryota; Metazoa; Chordata; Mammalia; Primates; Hominidae.
UCUUCCUCAGGGGCAGGCAGGGGCUGGGGUGAGUCCUGGGGAACAGGUGGGAGAAUGGAAGGGGAGGGGGCUGGGUCACUUCCAACAAGGCAAAGUGGAGGGGGGAUGAGAGCCGCAACAAGGUUUCCUUAGCUGCCACAUCCUCUUCCUCUUCCUCCGAGUCCAGGGCUUGCCUUGACAGAGCUUGAGGACGGCCUAGU